CACGUAGGGGGCAAGCGUUGUCCGGAUUUAUUGGGCGUAAAGAGCUCGUAGGCGGUUCGGUAAGUCGGGUGUGAAACCUCCAGGCUCAACCUGGAGAUGCCACCUGAUACUGCUGUGACUCGAGUCCGGUAGGGGAGCGUGGAAUUCCUGGUGUAGCGGUGAAAUGCGCAGAUAUCAGGAGGAACACCGAGUGGCGAAGG
This 200-nucleotide ribosomal RNA is filed under the name uncultured bacterium. RNAcentral's name for it is "partial 16S ribosomal RNA". It matches the Rfam family "Bacterial small subunit ribosomal RNA", at positions 524 to 721 of the family's 1533-position model. The record is from RNAcentral.